RNAcentral lists this ribosomal RNA (458 nucleotides) under uncultured organism. RNAcentral's name for it is "partial 16S ribosomal RNA". It matches the Rfam family "Bacterial small subunit ribosomal RNA", at positions 330 to 797 of the family's 1533-position model. The record is from RNAcentral.
CGUACACUCCUGCGGGAGGCAGCAGUGGGGAAUAUUGCACAAUGGGCGCAAGCCUGAUGCAGCGACGCCGCGUGGGGGAUGAAGGCCUUCGGGUUGUAAACUCCUUUCGCUAGGGACGAAGCUUUUUUGUGACGGUACCUAGAUAAGAAGCACCGGCUAACUACGUGCCAGCAGCCGCGGUAAUACGUAGGGUGCGAGCGUUGUCCGGAAUUACUGGGCGUAAAGGGCUCGUAGGUGGUUUGUCGCGUCGUCUGUGAAAUUCUGGGGCUUAACUCCGGGCGUGCAGGCGAUACGGGCAUAACUUGAGUGCUGUAGGGGUAACUGGAAUUCCUGGUGUAGCGGUGAAAUGCGCAGAUAUCAGGAGGAACACCGAUGGCGAAGGCAGGUUACUGGGCAGUUACUGACGCUGAGGAGCGAAAGCAUGGGUAGCGAACAGGAUUAGAAACCCCUGUAGUCCC